AGCGAACGCUGGCGGCAGGCCUAACACAUGCAAGUCGAACGAACCUUUCGGGGUUAGUGGCGGACGGGUGAGUAACACGUGGGAACGUGCCUUUAGGUUCGGAAUAACUCAGGGAAACUUGUGCUAAUACCGAAUGUGCCCUUCGGGGGAAAGAUUUAUCGCCUUUAGAGCGGCCCGCGUCUGAUUAGCUAGUUGGUUGAGGUAAUGGCUCACCAAGGCGACGAUCAGUAGCUGGUCUGAGAGGAUGAUCAGCCACAUUGGGACUGAGACACGGCCCAAACUCCGACGGGAGGCAGCAGUGGGGAAUCUUGCGCAAUGGGCGAAAGCCUGACGCAGCCAGGCCGCGUGAAUGAUGAAGGUCUUAGGAUUGUAAAAUUCUUUCACCGGGGACGAUAAUGACGGUACCCGGAGAAGAAGCCCCGGCUAACUUCGU
Molecule: ribosomal RNA, 433 nt
Filed under: uncultured bacterium
Lineage: Bacteria
Description: partial 16S ribosomal RNA
Rfam family: Bacterial small subunit ribosomal RNA
Source: RNAcentral